AAUCCAAAACUCAGGCUUGAGGAAAAAGUAAUAAGUUAAGUAAGGGGCCGUCCUGUCUUGGCCACUGUGGAUUCUUAUCCCAUGGGGUCUUUGAUGAUGAUUCCGUCUAUAGUAGAUAAAUUCAUAUGGUUUGUCAUGAGUUGGCUAUCACUUCUUCAUAAUGAAACCUUGAAUUUGGUAUAUGGCUCUAUGAACCUCUUCUAGAA
RNAcentral lists this long non-coding RNA (206 nucleotides) under Lathyrus oleraceus (garden pea). RNAcentral's name for it is "Pisum sativum (pea) long non-coding RNA (PSAT_LNC001690)". The record is from RNAcentral. Lineage: Eukaryota; Viridiplantae; Streptophyta; Magnoliopsida; Fabales; Fabaceae.